This 393-nucleotide ribosomal RNA is filed under the name uncultured soil bacterium. RNAcentral describes it as "bacterial SSU rRNA". It matches the Rfam family "Bacterial small subunit ribosomal RNA", at positions 26 to 410 of the family's 1533-position model. The record is from RNAcentral.
AGAUUGAACGCUGGCGGCAUGCUUUACACAUGCAAGUCGAACGGCAGCGCGGGGCAACCUGGCGGCGAGCGGCGAACGGGUGAGUAAUAUAUCGGAACGUACCCAAGAGUGGGGGAUAACGUAGCGAAAGUUACGCUAAUACCGCAUACGAUCUAAGGAUAGAAAGCGAGGGGGACCGCAAGGGCCUUGUGCUCCUGGAGCGGCCGAUAUCUGAUUAGCUAGUUGGUAGGGUAAAGGCCUACCAAGGCUACGAUCAGUAGCUGGUCUGAGAGGACGACCAGCCACACUGGAACUGAGACACGGUCCAGAUUCCGUACGGGAGCAGCAGGUGGGGUAAUUUUGGAACAAGUGGGCGACAAGGCCUAGACUCCAGCAAGUGCCGCGUGAGUGAAG